RNAcentral lists this unclassified non-coding RNA (217 nucleotides) under uncultured Ascomycota. RNAcentral's name for it is "sequence contains ITS1". Lineage: Eukaryota; Fungi; Ascomycota. The record is from RNAcentral.
AAAAUGAAACCGGACCGAGGUGAGACCAGCGUAGUUGGUAGAGGUUCCGCCUCCCGAAACGUGCUACGCCCUCACCGAGCGAAGGGAGAACUCAUACCCUUGAAUACUUACUAUUUUGCUUUGGCAGGCCGCCUCACGGCGUGGGCCCCGGCCCGCAGUGCCUGCCAGAGGACCACAACUCUGUUUUUAGUGAUGUCUGAGUACUAUAUAAUAGUUA